Molecule: long non-coding RNA, 1035 nt
Organism: Amphiprion ocellaris (clown anemonefish)
Lineage: Eukaryota; Metazoa; Chordata; Actinopteri; Pomacentridae
Source: Ensembl
CAUCAUAUGGCACUGUUAGGGCUGUGGCCGUAUUUUGGUAAUGUUGUGUUUGUCGUUUUGAAUUGUUUUGUUGUCUGGGAGUGGGUGUUCUGUGUUUGUCUGUAGAUCUUUCUCUCGUCCUUGUUUUCUGUGUAAGUGGUCUGUUCGUCCUGUUGGUUUGUAGUGGGUGUUGUGUUUGUCUGUGGAUCUUUGUGUGCAGGAGCUGAUUGGUGGCAAGGCGGACCUAGCGCUGAUUGGCUGUAAACCAUUUUAAAUCUUGGCAGCUGGCAGUGAUGAGGGGAGCCUCUCUGACAGCAGCACCCUUUGUUUUUUCCCAGACUCCAGACUUUUGCCUUGAUACCCGUGUUUUUUGGUUAGAUUAAGAUAGUGUGUUUUUUGUUUGUUAGACUUGGGUUUAUUUUUGUAGAAGUUGUGGUUUUGUUGGAUAGGAUCUUUUGUUUGAGUGCUAAAAUGCCUCUUUAGUUUGUAUGCAAUUAUUUUGUGUUUUUUUGCUUGAAUGAAUAGCCCAUGUGGUGGCCUCUUUGAUUUGUAGAAGAUCUUUUGUAAUUUUUCAAGGGAACUGUUCAUCAUUUUUUGGGGACUGGGAAAAUAUUCCACCUUAUUUUUUUUAUUUUUUUAAAAAAAACAAACAUUAUGCUGCGCACCUUCCCCCUAGACAGGUGCGUAACAGGCACGUUUUUACAACAUGUUGAAAAAUCGCUUUUUUUUUUUCGACAUAGUAUAGUAAGGCGUUUUUUUUGCGCCAAAAUUCAUUAUGAUUUUUUUUUUCAAAGAAAACCUUUCUGGAGUGUUUUUCACGGCCUCCUUUACAUUAUUUCAUCAUGUGACACAUUUUGACAACAUGUUGAAAAUCGCAUUUUUUUUCGACAUAGUAUAGUAAGGCGUUUUUUUUGCGCCAAAAUUCAUGUUGAUUCUUUUUUCAAAGAAAACCUUUCUGGAGUGUUUUUCACGCCCUCCUUUACAUUAUUUCAUCAUAUGGCACAUUUUUACAACAUGUUUGAAAAAUCGCAUUUUUUUUCGACAUAGUAUAGUAAG